Molecule: ribosomal RNA, 372 nt
Filed under: uncultured organism
Description: partial 16S ribosomal RNA
Rfam family: Bacterial small subunit ribosomal RNA
Source: RNAcentral
GUAGGUGGCAAGCGUUGUCCGGAAUUAUUGGGCGUAAAGCGCGCGCAGGUGGUUCUUUAAGUCUGAUGUGAAAGCCCCCGGGCUCAACCGGGGAGGGUCAUUGGAAACUGGGGAACUUGAGUGCAGGAGAGGAAAGUGGAAUUCCACGUGUAGCGGUGAAAUGCGUAGAUAUGUGGAGGAACACCAGUGGCGAAGGCGACUUUCUGGCCUGUAACUGACACUGAGGCGCGAAAGCGUGGGGAGCAAACAGGAUUAGAUACCCUGGUAGUCCACGCCGUAAACGAUGAGUGCUAAGUGUUGGGGGGUUUCCGCCCCUCAGUGCUGCAGCUAAUGCAUUAAGCACUCCGCCUGGGGAGUACGGUCGCAAGACUG